Molecule: ribosomal RNA, 253 nt
Filed under: uncultured bacterium
Lineage: Bacteria
Description: partial 16S ribosomal RNA
Rfam family: Bacterial small subunit ribosomal RNA
Source: RNAcentral
UACGGAGGGUGCGAGCGUUGUCCGGAAUCACUGGGCGUAAAGGGCGCGUAGGCGGCCCGGUAAGUAGGGGGUGAAAUCUUGCGGCUCAACCGCAAGGCUGCCUUCUAAACUGCCAGGCUCGAGCACAGUAGAGGCAGGUGGAAUUCCCGGUGUAGCGGUGGAAUGCGUAGAGAUCGGGAAGAACAUCGGUGGCGAAGGCGGCCUGCUGGGCUGUUGCUGACGCUGAGGCGCGAAAGCCAGGGGAGCGAACGGG